RNAcentral lists this unclassified non-coding RNA (400 nucleotides) under plant metagenome. RNAcentral describes it as "partial contains 5.8S ribosomal RNA, internal transcribed spacer 2, and large subunit ribosomal RNA". The record is from RNAcentral.
CAAGUCCCCCAGCUCAGCCGGCUCGGCGCUCAGAACGCGGUAAAUGGUGUACACGUCGGGUUGCGAUACGACGGCCCAUACGACAUCCCCGAGUCUGCGAAGCCGGGCUCGAGCCGGACCGGACACGUCCACGCCCGCCAGCGUAUCGGAUAAGCGGUCCGCCGCACGCGCCACGAGGGCACGCGCAAGGUCGAUUUUAGCUGGAAAGUAGACGUACACCGUUCCCUUCGAUACACCCGCCCGCCGGGCUACCUCAUCCAUCCGGCACCGGGCAUACCCCCGAUCCGCCAGCAACUCAAACGCUGCGUCCAGAAUCUCUCCUGGCCGAUCUUCUGCCCGCCGCUGCCAGCGCGGGGAGCGUGAAACAUCGACAGAAUCAGCACGACCAGACCUCCCGGGC